Molecule: long non-coding RNA, 20708 nt
Filed under: Prunus persica (peach)
Lineage: Eukaryota; Viridiplantae; Streptophyta; Magnoliopsida; Rosales; Rosaceae
Description: long non-coding RNA (PPER_LNC002588)
Rfam family: tRNA (bases 8515-8586)
Source: RNAcentral
UAGAGAUCAGCUCAGACCUGAACUUAUCUUCUCCAUCAGAAACUAUCGUUUUAACCAGAGCUUCACCAUUCAGCUUUCCACCGUUCAGCUUUCCACCAUUCAGCUUUCCAGAUGAGAGAUUUGAAGUGAUAAUCUUCUCUGGUUCAGGGUAAGAAAUGGCGAUAAGCGACUCACGAGUCACUUCUUCAGGAGCCCCGUUUCCAAGUCUGGCUUUAUCCAUAAAAUGUCUGAUCUGCUUGGUCUGCAUCCAUCCAAACAUAUAAUGUUAACUGGAAUUAAGAUAAAAAUGGCUGACAAGGAAAAGAGAUUAUAAAUAAGAAUACAGCUUCAAUAAAAGACAGUGCACGAAAGUUCCAAAUAUCUCAAUUAGUAAUGUCACAAAGUUGUUCAUUUUACGAUGGAAAUGCAUCCCCUUUCACCAGCCAAAAUCAGGGGAAAGAUCAACAAACUAUGGGAGAGCUAAUGGCCAUGAUGAUUCAAGUACUUGUACUUUAUGAUCUUCUUGGGAUAUACACCACUUCAGUAAAUCUGGGCUUCAAUAAAUCAAAGCCAAUAUACAGCCACAAAGUUACAUGUUAUCGCAAAACAACAAAUUAUCAACUAUUACAGCCAUAUAAGAAAAUAGUAUUGCACAAAAGUUUCAAACAGAAGAAUUCAGAAAUCCAUCCUCAAAACCAAGAAUUACUGCUGAGCUCCAUAUUAUUCAAACAGCAAAGGAUCCAACUGGCAACUACAAAAACAACAGGACAUCAUAUAGAAUCGCAUAAACAAACAGCAAUAGAAUACAAUGGAAAUCGACCUUGAAAUAUUUCUUUUAUAACUACAGUAACUCCUGUAUUAGGCUCAAGACAUCAUCGUAAGUUCGGUUUGUUUAUGUUUGCUAAAGGUGUUUUCUCAAUUGUUUCUGGGGUUGCUCUCUAAUAAUGUAACUACUCUGAAUAAAGAGAAACUAAUAGCUAGAAGCAAUGGUUCAGUCCUUACACAAAUUAAAUAUAUUGUAUUGCCGUGAAAACAGAUAAUAGUAAACCACAAGAAGCUAGUGAGAACCAAGCACAAAUUCCCCCCAAAAGCUAGAGACAAUCAAACAUAGAGUCCCACCAAAUUGUACUACAAGUAAACCAACAUAUCAGAUAACACCACAAACCAACCAUUCCUACCAGCAGAAAUAUGUGAUUUGAUGUUUUCCGGCUUCAUUCAGUCGCAUCAACCAAAAGAAAGGGCAUCCUACUAGGAAUUGAAACCAACUGCCAGCUAGAAUACACCCCAUGAUUGAGGCCCUACCACAUGGUUUAAGCUAUUAAAGCUCAAACUACAAGAUAUAUGAACGAAAACAAAAUCAAGGAAAAGUGAUUGUACUGAGAAGACAGAGAUAACUUGUUACAUAUAACAUAGAACAAGAAGUAAAAAUGUAAAAUUCUUGGUACAACCAGCAACUACAAGAGGCGGAAACUAUGCUUAGCACCAUGUACAAAGAGGGCAAAACCCAUCUCUCUCUACAAAUAAUUUUGUAUGUGUUUCAAGCUACAUAAGUAUAUCUCCUUUCCAUAAUCCAAUUAACCUCAAAUCAUCAAUUCAAAGAAAACAAUUUCUAGAUUUGACCUUCAAGCAUAACCAUAAAAAUUGAAGAAAAAGACUUCAAAUUUUAACAAUAUGGAAAAUUAGCCACCAACCCAUCAAAGUGAUGAGAAAAAUAUGCAAAACCCAUGUCUUGGUUUCGAGAAUGAUCAAGAAACAGAUUCAGUUCAAGGAAGAAUCAGAGAAAAAGCAAACAGGAAUUCAAACUAAACAAAUUUUGAAUAUGGACAUCGAUUCAGAGAAAAAGAGAAAGAGAAGCCCGAAGAAAACACUUGAGAGAGAGAGAGAGAGAGAGAGGACUUACCGAAAAGUCGGAGGCGCUUGAGUAAGAAAGGCGUUUGGUGAAUGGAGGUGAGAAAGUUUGACCUUGCGUAUGUAUAUGUCUCUACACUCUUUCUUUACUGAUUUUACCUAAAAGAAGAUGAGAAGGAGACGUUGCAAGUUGGCUUUAGAGAAAGAGAGAGAAAUGCCGCCUCUUUUUCUCCGUCUCCAAUUCGAUCUCUGCUUUGAUUUUGAUUUGAUUGGUUACCGAAAAAGAAAAAAAAAUUGGUUUUUUAUAGAGUCGCUCGUAGAACGUUCUCGAGGCGUUCAAAACGAAAAGAAGUUGGUCAAAGAAAAAAAAAACCCCCAAAAGAAGUUUUUUUUCGUUUAAACUAAAAUAUGUUUUUACCUUGUUAUAACUGAAAAUGAAAAUGAGUCUUUCGGUUUCAGCACACGUUUUAUGUGUGCUUUGAUUGCAAAACAAAAUUAUAAAUUAUAAAUUCCAAAUUUUAAUUUAUUAUUUAUUAUUUUUUUGCUUGAAUAACGAAGCAUAACUAAAAAGAGGAUUUUAUUUCUGAACAUGUCAAAUUUCAGUCUAAAAAAUUACCAACCAAAUUCUAUUCAUGUCCUAGAUGAACUAAUGGUGUGUUUACUAUCUAUUUUAAUUUAACACCGAUGAUAUUUUAGUAAUCAAUAUCACUCCUACUCGAAUUACAUAUAGUUUAAUAAACAACUUCAAUAAGAAUAUGGAUCUAACUCUCCUCAAUCCAUAUAAUUUACUAAACAACUUCAAUAGAAAUCUGGAAUUUAAUUCUUCUCAAUCCAAUUCAUCAUGUUUAAUUCAUUCUAAUCCAAUUACAAUUAGUAAACAUGCCAUAAGUUAUUGACUACCGUAUUAGAUUCUAGAUAAAUACAACAUAGAGUGAAAAUGAAUAAUCUCGUAUGAAAAACAUCAUCUUUUAAGCAAUAUUAUUUUUCUCUCAAUCAUUUCAAUGUGUAGCUUAGAAACAAUAUAAUAUGGCUUCUGGAUCGUUAAUUUCUUCCUCUCUUUUUUUCUUUCCUUUCUUUUUAUAUUUUUUAAUUAUUAUUUUGGAUUCAGUUUUAAUUAAUUAAAACAUCCCUGUUGAAUUUUGUCUUUUUGUCUCAAGUAGCUAGAUGCUUCUUCGGUUGUGAUAAGGUAUCUUAUUAAUUUAAUUAUAUGGAGACCUCAAAGAGCAAUGUUACGUAGCUAGCUCCAGCUGGAGACCUGAAAGAGCAAUAUUACCUAGCCAGCUCCAGCACAAUUAGUUCAAUAAUAUUAAUUCAAAAAAAUCACUAGUUACAAAGUAUUAAUACAAACUAGUCACAAAGGGCUAUAAUAAUAAUAAAACGAUUUAAUAUUAAAAUUAAGAUAAUUUGGUGCGUCUCCCCUAACAAUCAUGCAAGAUCAAAGAAACUCUGACAUUGGCAUCCCAACUAAGAUUGCAAACUUAAAACAAUCAAAAGGAGAUAUAGCUUGAAAAACCAAGGCAUAACAAUAUAAAUAAAACUCUCACAAAAGAGAUGUGGAAAACUCUCAUAAAGGGAGAGGUGUAUUGUGAAUUUUAGACAACCUGAGAAAUGGAGAUUAUAAAGAUUAGUCUAAACACAAAUUUUACUAGCAAGUGUACAAGGUCAAUUGUAAUAUAGUAUGGCAAAUAUGAGGUCAUUCCCACGAGGAUUGAGUUCAACUUCCAAUUAGUCUAACCUAAUUUACUUCACAAAAUACUUUAACUACUGUAAUUAUAUAAACAAGAAAUUAAACACGUAGCAUACUCACGUAAACACAGAAGGGGUUUUUGAAAGAAUGAUUUAAUUAUCAACGAAAUUAAAAGAUAAAACAAGUUGAAAGUCGCGAAACACAAGGAUGAGAAAUUCAAAUUGAUAAAAGCAUUAGGACAAUGAAUUCACCACUAAUAAUCUGAUCUAGCCUCUUAUUCACCUACCUAUUAAUUAACCAUUUGAUGUCGUCGCUUAGUUUUCAUUUUUCAUGAAUUACCUAUGGUAUUUAAGCUAACUCGUAUAUUCCUACAUGCAAUUCGUCUAUGAUAUUUAAGUCAAAUAUCAAUACAUAGAAACUCAAUAAGAUCAAUGAAAACCUCCAACAAGUAUGUAAACCCUAGGAGUAUGGUAUUUACCCUAGACGAAUUACAAAUCCUAAUCACAAGAAGCAAGCCCCAAAUUAAGUAUGGUAUUUACUCUAAUUUGCAUCCGAUUAACUCAAGAUAAUCAACCAAGUUAUUAAGCACAGUGAUUAAGAAUCCAACAUCAAACGGCAAUCAAUAGAUAGGUAAAAUAAGAAAACUAGAUUAUCAUACUAGAGCUACAUCAUGCCCUAGCAAAAGAAAAUUAGUUACACAUAAUCAUAGAAUUCGAUAUAAACAAAAACAUAAGGAAGAAACAAUAAAACUUAGCCAAUUGCGGUACUCUUCCGGCGUCUCCAAUUUCUCCUAGUCUUUGCGUCCUCUCAAAGGAGUUGUUUUUCUCAUGCUUAAAUAAAACACCACAUGUCUAUUCCUACUCUAGCUACAGCCCAAAAAAUAAAGAAAAACCUAAUUAAAACAUAAAUCCAAAAUGGGUAAGUAAUUGACUCUUCUUCCUACUUUGACUGGGAUAACACGUUAGUUACUUUGCAUGUACGUUUGGAAUCAUUCCUCCUUCAAGAAAAUUUAGAAAAAAUAUGUAAAUUGUAGGUCUUUGUCUUCUCUUUCCAGCCAUAUAUUGCAUGCCUUGCGGGAAAAUCAGAAAAGUCUUCAAAUAAGAUUCUUCCUGACGAGAUUGCACCUUAUCCUGACUUAACUUCAAAGACUGCUAUCAUUGAUUGCUCCGAAAAUUCUAGAAAAAUUCCACAAUCAUCUUCAAGAUCUUAGCUUUCAUCUCCAACAAGUCUCACUAGCAGACUCGGAAAUUAUUUCAUGGAGGCGUAGUUUUGGCUAGGAUGACUAAAGAGUUUAGAAGCUCAACGGACUAAAUUAUAAUGUUUCAAUGGUAAAAGCCCACAACCAAUGGCGGAAACAUAUGUAUGGCAGGUUAACUAUGUAAUCAAAUUUGAAGAAAAAAAAAACUAUGUAAUCUAAUUUAUUUAUAAUUAAAAAAAAACUAUAUAAUCUAAAAUGAAAAAAAGAACUUUGAUUAAGGGGGAGUUUAUUUCAUCUUUCCCAGCGUUUGAAGAAAAAAAGGGAGUUUAUUUCAUCAUAAAAAUAUAGCAGGAGUAAUUUCAUUUAUUAUUUAUUUAAUAGUAUAUCGAAAGUUCAAAGGUUUUUAAAAGAACCAUGCAUUCAUUUUCAAUAGAUGCCUUUUUGGAAGACCCAAUUUCAAAGCUUUAAUUUAUUAUUUAUUUGAUGAUAAUUUUGAAGUUCAAACGGUAUUUGAAAGACCCGUGCCUUCUUUCCCAUUCCUCCUCUUUACAUCACUUCAGACCCAAUUUCAGGGCCUCAAUUGCUCUCUCCCUCCAUCUCUUUUUCUCUUCAUUGCUCUCUCUCCUUCCAUCUCUCUUCAAAAGCCUACACUCGCUCUUAAGUGGAUCCACCACUGUGCGCAGCACAACAAGCCUUGGUUUUGGUUGAGGCAAUUCAUUGAACAGGUUGAGUGCACCACCCGACCUCACCAGAGGGGCAAGAUGCAACUCCUACAAAGGCUAUUCCGGCGAAGGGAGGUGCAGCUGCACCUCCUUGUGCCUUAAUAGGUCCGCAAAUGACUGUUCUUGUAUUAAAACUCCACCAAAAAUUUGUAUUUCCGUUGAAAACCUAUUACUUGUUCCAGAAAGCUAAAAAUUGAGAAAAUAAAGUAAUAGGUCCUUUUUAAAUCAAAUUCUCCUACAAAAACUAAGUAUAAAGAGUACAUAAAUGUGUAAAUUUAUAGACUUAUCAAGGUAAAAACUACACAUAAAACACAAAAGUGUAUACAACUUAUUCCAAACAUAUAAAGAAGCUACAAAAAGGAUGGUGGUGAAGAUCCGACACCGAGAUGUAGCCGCCUAUGAUGGGUGCAGUAAAAUCAUAAGAAAACGAAGACAUAUAGGGAAAACCUUAUGUCUUUGAAAAUGGAGGAAGAGAGGAGGGGAAAGAAAAUGAAGAAUAAUGACUUCCUCCUCCCUCAAUGAAGAAUAAUGACUUCCUCCUUCCUCAAAGUAAAAAUGGCGCUAAGAGGGUUUUUUGGGAAAAAGAGGGCUACGAAUUUUUCAGAAUGGUCCUAACUUGAGCUUGAGUUUGGCGUAUUUAAUUCAUUAUUAAAUAAUUUCUAAUGUAAAUGAAACAUGUGGUUAUCGUAAUUAACAGAAAAUUAAUAUGUGGAACAUGCGUAUAAAAAUACAAUAAUUUUAUGAACAUAACAUGUGCAUAUAUAAUUCAAAUAAAAAAUAUCAAUCUGACAAAAGACUAUCUGGCAGAAAAUCCUAAAAGUGACUAAGGGUCAUAAAGUAUUUUUUUUAUAGAAAAUACUUUAAUUUUUAAUAAGAAUGUUUAAGAAUAGAUAAUAAAAAAUAGUUUCUCAGCAAAAGUGCUUCCUACAUAAGUAGUUCUAAACAGCCCCAAGUAUGUUGGGUGCCAUGUCCUGCAACUUGGGUCAGUGCAAUGUGGCCUGUAAAUAUUAAUUUGGACAGCUGAAAAAAAAAGAAGAAAAAAGAUCAUAGAGUAGUAAAAGGUCAACUCUACUCAUUCCCUCGAGCCAUAUUUUAGACAUUUACAUGUUUGGUAUGCUUCACUGUGGCUCACUGGAUUGUACUAUGUUAAAUAACAUUUGAAACCCAUGCUUGGCAAGGGAGGAGAUUAACUUAAAUGAGACUCUAUAGUCCAACAGUUAAAAAAUAAGGGGACUCGUAUGUCUAAUAUAGAGAGCCCAAAAUUGAGUUCACAAAAUAGCGAGCAUCUUAUUUUGAACAAGCGAGUCCAAUGGAUUUCCUUAUGGCGAGCUCCCCCCUCCCCCCCAAUUUCUUCUUUGGGUGAAGAACCCCACAACACCUCUGCAACAACCGUAGCUGCCUCUGCAUCAGAGAGAUGCUUCUCUCACUCUCUUCAGUAUUUCCAAUUUAAAAGCUCUUUUCUCACUCUGCUCUAAUCCUUCAGGGACUUGAGAACGGAACAAAAGAUGAGGAGAAUCAACCGUCUUUCGAAAAGGGAUGCGGCUGUGUUGAAGAGACAAUUAUUUCACUUGCAAACAUAUUUGGGUGAAAUUAAAUAUAUGACGGGGUUACCCGAUAUUGUAAUAAUCGUUGAUCAGCAAGAAGAAUAUACUGCUUUUCGAGAAUGUAUCACUUUGGGAAUUCCAACGAUUUGUUUAAUCGAUAACAAUUGUGACCUCGAUCUAGCAGAUUUUUCGAUUCCAGCGAAUGAUGACGCUAUAAUCAAUUCGAUCCCCCGAUUGAAUUGGAGGCAAAUGCCUACGAAAAGAUCGCUUGGAUUUAAGAAGGAUUCGCUUGGAUUUAUCCAUGGUUUGUUUAUUCCUUAUCCUGAAAAUCCCAAUCCUAUUUCUUAAUUCUAAAUCAUGUUUGAUCCGAUCGAAAUAUGAUUGGGUUUGUUUAUAUUUAAAUAAAUAUAUGUUAUAUAUAAUAUGUAAUUUUUCAUCUUCCUUGGAAGACUACCGCUUGCUUGACGUAAAACAAAUAGUGGAUUUGUUUCUGUUUUUUGUUGAAUCUUUUUCAUGGCUCGAUAGAUAAUUUGAUAAGCCAAUGAUUUUUUUUAGUGUUUCAGAAUACGGUUAACCAACAUGUUAACUAAUCGAUUACCAUAAAUUGGAUCAGAUUUUUACAGUUUUUUCUUCUGCAGUACCUCGACGUGACAUGAGCGUGAAAGGGUUCAAGAAUCAGUUUUCUUUUUAUAAGGGCUAAAAUCAUUUAUUUUGGCUUUUUUACCCCAUAUUGUAGGGUGGAUCUCGAAAGAUAUGAAAGAUCUCCCUCCAAGCCGUACAUACGACUUUCAUCGAAUACGGCUUUCCACAGAAUUCUAUAUGUAUCUAUGAGAUCGAGUAUGGAAUUCUGUUUACUCACUUUAAAUUGAGUAUCUGUUUCCCUCCUUUUCCUGCUAGGAUUGGAAAUCCUGUAUUUUACAUAUCCAUACGAUUGAGUCCUUGGGUUUCCAAAAUAGUGUAAAAAGAAGUGCUUCGAAUCAUUGCUAUUUGACUCGGACCUGUUCUAAAAAAGUCGAGGCAUUUCGAAUUGUUUGUUGACACGGAUGAAGAGUUAGAACCAAUGCUUUAUUUCUGUCCUAGUUGAUCCUGAUUCAACAUUAGAAGUAUAUUGAUUUUUCCCCAAUAACCGAAUACUUUUGUCUGUAAAUACUGCAUAUUUGAUUCAAUCCAUAAAUCUAUUUUCUUCCCUUUGAGUUCUAGUCUCAAUAAGAAUGCUAGUUCUACGAUGUUGGGUCAGAAUUACUUUUUGACUCUGCGCCAUUGAUUCCACUAUUAUUUAUUAGUGAACAAUAAUUGAAUAAUUCUUUCAUAGAGAUAGAUGACAUAAUUCACAUGGGUAUAGUAAAUCUUGCUUGGGCUGCUUUAAUGGUAGUCUUUACGUUUUCCCUUUCACUAAUAGUAUGGGGAAGAAGUGGACUCUAGAAGUACCACUAAUUGAGUUUAGGAACUAAAUUGUAUCAAUUUUUUUUUAUAGAUCGUUCGUGGUCAUGGGUUGAGAACGGAAAUUGAACUCUAUUAGAUCUAAUCUCCUGUUGUUCCUCAGUAGCUCAGUGGUAGAGCGGUCGGCUGUUAACUGACUGGUCGUAGGUUCUAAUCCUACUUGGGGGAGAUUUUAAUCAUUCUGAAUUAUCAUGCAAAAUGGAUAAAAUUUUGGCUGCUACUUAGUAUAUCGGCAAUAGGUCUGAAAAAGUAUCUAAAAAUAUAAAAUUUAGAUAUUUGUAUCCCGUCAAAGUAAGGAAUCAUGGCAUAUAUGUUUGGAAUAUAUUCCAUUUUGAGAGAGUUGAAAAAGCAUUAUCUCGUUGAAAGGUUCUAUACAUCUACCCUUUCUCAAGGCAUUUCUUUAGAUAAAGACCCCUUUUUUCCUCUUUUUGGAUCCAAAAAGGUUAUCCAAAGCUAUAUACAAAUCAUACCAUCUUUUUUUAAUCGCACGUCGUAAACAGAUACAAUAAGAAUUCUUACUCAGAUUAUGAAUCCGAAUAUUUUAUAUUGGAAUUGAAUAAACAAAACACUAUAAAGAGAAUAUUCAUUGGAGGAAAGUAUAAAUAAAUAGGCCAAACCAAAACUUUAGGAAAGAGAUCUAAGCAGCCCGCACCGAAACAGUGUUUUACCCCUAGAUGUCCAGUCAACUGUUGUACCUCAACGCAUUUCGGGGAGAACUAGCUAGCUCUGGGUUAGAGUGGCAUUUCACCCCUAACCACAACUCGUCCGCUGAUUCUUCAAUAUCAGUCGGUUCGGACCUCCACUUAGUUUCACCCAAGCUUCAUCCUGGUCAUGGAUAGAUCACCCAGGUUCGGGUCCAUAAGCAAUGACAAUUGUCCUAUGAAGACUCGCUUUCGCUACAGCUCCGGUGGGUUCCCUUAACCAAGCCACUGCCUAUGUGUCACCGGCUCAUUCUUCAACAGGCACGCGGUCUGAGGAUUUAAAGGAUUGGAAUAGAGAAAUGCAUAUUUAAUGUACCUAUAAUGGCGUUCAAUUAUCAGAAAAAGAAUUUCCAAAAAACUGGUUAACAGACGGUACUCAAAUCAAGAUCCUAUUUCCUAACCUUGGCACAGAUCUAAACUACAAGCCCCAACAACCAUCAACUAUAACCCCAAAAGAACCAGAUUUCGUAAACAACAUAGAGGAAGAAUGAAAGGAAUAUCUUAUCGAGGCAAUCGUAUUUGCUUCGGUAGACACAACUUACAACUUUCAUCGUAUUGUGCUCUCCAAAGUGCAACUCUUCUCAAAAUCUCAAAAGGAAAGGUGCUGAGUUGGAAUCCCAUUCUAACUAAGGAUUCUUGUGGUUCCAGAACCGUUAACUAUAAUGAUAUAAGAAAAUCAUUAUUGUUCCCGGUGGUAUCAAGAUGCCGCUGUGUCGAAAUAUCUUAUCCAUCUAUCCAGGAAAAUGGAUAUCUCCUGGUUACUAACCAAGAAAUCCCUAUUAAACAAAAUAAAAGAGUGAAUUCUUUCUUCCGUGAAAUUGGUUAAUAGGGUCUUGCAUCUUUCUAUAUCUCCCCAAAAUCACCCACCCACUAAAAAUCCUUUUUGUUGGGUCGUAUUAUUAUAAAAGGGUAGUGACAUUGACCCACAAGAAGCACAACAAACUCUUGAAAUAGCGGAAGCUAACUUGAGGAAAACUGAAGGCAAGAGACAAACAAUUGAGGCAAAUUUAGUUCUCAGACGAGCUAGGAGUUCCAUGAUUAUAAGUUCAUUCUAUACCGGACCAGACUGGAAUAGGGUUAUAUACAUUCUAAUUAUGAGAAUGGGUCAUUCGAGCGUAUCUAAAUAGGUACUAUGUUUACAUAUGGAUCCUUACGUCGUUACAUUCCAUUUAGGAUUAGGAAUAGGCGUAAUCUGACCUGCUUUUUACAUAUCUCGCGUUAUUUGGGAUGGGACCCUAUUCACAUCUUUGGACUUUUAUUUUAUCGAGAAAUCGGUAAUAACUUGGGGAAUCCCAUAUGGAUUAUGACCUGAAUCAAAUCGAUUCUUUUUUGAAUCUCUAUACGUGCAAUUCCCUCGACAUUAGAGGAUAUUUUCAUAUUCUUUUGUACAUAAUUUUUGAUACAAUCUCGUAUUUUUUGAUCUUCUUGUAAUUUAUUCAUUCCUAAUUUAUUCCUUUCCUAUAGAACAUCUAGGAACAAGAGGAUUAUUAAAACAAGCUUUCGUUUAUUAGAUUUUUUAACUACGAAAACAAAUGAAAAAACUUAUUUUUUAAACACCUAUCGGAUUGAUAGUAAUGAAAAUGUAAGAAGUAUGGUACAUCUGUUUAUUAGUAUUGCUCGUUUUGGCACUAAAAACACUUUCUCAUAUCCCCAUGAGUCGGACAAUACUAUGUGUUACUUUAUUUGUUGGAUUACGGGUGGCAUUUUACCAGAGGUUUCUAUUGUAUCAAUAAUCUACCCUUGUGUGAUUCUUGUUGAAGCAUAUGCUCGCCGGGGGGGGCGGGGGGGGGGGGGGGGGCGGCCUGGGGGGGGGGGUUGGGUUGCGCAAAACCCAAAGCAAGCCACCCCGGAUAGAAAUAAAUGAAUUCCAAAGAUCUUAGGCAAAUCCAAAUAGGGUUUUCCUGUAUGUUCAUCAGUAAAUAUUUCUAGAUCCCAAUACACCCAAUACCAAACAGCUGCCAAAAAGCACAAGCCAGAAAACACAAUAUAUGCUCCGGCCACACCUUCGUAACUCCAAAUACUUGGAUUUGUUACAGUACCCCCUGUGAUACUCCAACCGCCCCAUGAAUUGGUUUUUCCUAAACAAGUCAUGAAAGGUAUAACGAACAUACCCUGUCUCCACAUUGGAUCAAGAACAGGAUCAGAAGGAUAAGAACGGUGCGUUUUGAGGUGUGAAGUGGGAGAUAAGGGAUUUCAUAAUUGGAUUGGCGUUUUGAAUAAGACGACCUUUUCAUUUUUUUUUUCUUUUUGAAUUUGAAAAAGUAAUAAGAAUGAGAGGUGUUAAGCUUUUUAUCAUCCUGGCGUCGAGCUAUUUUUCCGUAGGACCUCCCUUAUAGUAUCGUAAAUACGAUAGUAGCUAUAGUUAGAUUUAGAUAUGCACAUGUUUAUUAAUCAAAAUCAGCCUUAUUAUACACUUCAAUUAUACACUUCAAUCAUAUUCUACAAAUUCAACUAUAAAAAAAGAGGUAAAAACAUCUCUCUUCUACGAGAUUUUUUUUUUUUUUUUUAAACAAUGAACCAUUGUAAGAAGUAUUUGAAACACGGGAAAGAAAUACCACUCAGGCAAUAUUUUCAGAGGAGUUGCAAACGGAUCCACGGGUUCACCAAUCAUUGAUGGUUCUAGAACCGCUAAGCCAACGUUACAUGCAAUAGUACUUAAAAUUACUACUGAAAAAAUAUAUAAAAUGUUAUAAAAAUAACCUGGAAUAUGUAUGAAUAUUGAGCUGCACGUAAAGUAGAUGAGACACAGCAUUUAACGAGGUUCGGCUAUGCCUACGUCCUCGGAGAGCAGCAACAGUAACUUUUUCACUAUAUAAAAUAAUAGGGCUACAACUUUAGAGUUUACAAUAUGUGAGGCUCACUGAAUUUUCUCUAUCUUUCUCUUCUAUCUUUCCUCCUCUCUUUCCUCUUCUCUUUUUUCUUUUCUUCUUUUCUCCGUUGGUCUCUCUUCCCAUUGCAAGUGAUAUGCCUAUUUAUAGGCUAAGGUUUUGGCAAAUACAGGGAAGGGAAAGUUCCUGGAAGAUGCAAGGAAACUUCCUCCAUGCAUGUGAUACCAAAGCUGUGGACUCCACCUUCAAACUUUUACAACACUCCUCCUUGGAGACCACAAAUGGUAUGGAAUAUGCCUCGUUAAAAACCUUGCCAGUAAAAACCCAGUGGGACAAAAACUGGUCGAAGGGAAAAAGAGUACAUAAUCACGUGUAACAUAAAAUUCUGUGUAUAUUGACGCGCGUGCGACACUGCCUCGUUAAAACCUUGCCAGGAAAAAACCCAGUGGGAUAAAAACCUGGACGAAGGAAAAAGAGUACAGUGUUUGAAGAUCUUUAUUGAUAACACGCUCCCCCUGAUGCUUGGCAAAAUAUCUUUAAGCCAUACUGUUGAUCAUCUGUCUGAAUAUCAUAGUUAACACUGCUGCUGUGAGCCAAUAGUGUAUGAAGGUCUUUAUUAAUACCAUGCUCCCCCUGAUGAAUAUCUCCCCCUGAAAACUUCAUGACUAGCUUUUUCCAGUAAGCGACCAUAGAGAUUUCCUGAGUCCGCAUAUCUUAGAACACUUGGGCUAUUUAUAAGUUCACUAAAAAAAUAUGCCUGUAUAUGGUGUUAUGCUUAGAUAGCAUCAAAUAUACCUCACAUCAUUCCAAAAUGAUGGUGAUGGAGUUGAGCCCUAUCUGGAAAAUAUGAUGUCCGGUCCAAUAUACUUCUGGAAAAUCAUUAAAGUGUCCAACGGAUAAUCCUCAUAAAAAUACUUUAAUACUUUCUUAGUAUAAGCAAGAAUCUCGUUGGCAUAAUGCUCGAUCGAGACAAAUAUUUCAUGAAUUAUGCAGAAGCUUUAAUGUGUUGCAAUCACAUUAUAAUCAAUGUACUCACUGAGGUAAUUUAUGCAUAUUAAUAUUGAGUACAAAUUUUGUGCUUCAAGCACAUGUCCUUUAGGGACUUGCUUUAUGCAAUAUCAAUCCUCUCAACGGAUUUUGUCUAAAAGGGAUUAAGCUUUAUGACACAUUAUAUAGCUUUUACCCAGCUAUUUAUACAUCUUUAGGAAAUCGCUUCUGGCGAUAUGCUCCGUGCAUUUAAUAACCCUUAAAGAUAAUAUGUUGGUCUCCGUAAUUGUGUAAUAAGGGGGGGGGGGGGGGGCACAAUUGAAUCUGUAAAUAUGGAGAAAACCCAACAUUCCUUGUUUCUGCCAGAAACAGUGUGUCAUACAAAGUAGGUAUAUUCCCUUUUAUUCCGAACACCCAAGUAUAACUUUCAGUAGUAACAAAUUUUGGGGUUCGUAUUGUGGGUUUGUUCUUUCACGUUCAUUCUCAUUUAUAAUGAAAUUACCUCGUUCCAUUUUGGCCAUUGAUAUUGUCGACAUUUAAUAAUUGAACGUGGUUCCAAUCAACACAGCCCAUUGAUGAUUUGAGUAGCUACUCGAAAAUCAAAAAUUGUCAUUCAUCAAUUCAUGAUCCCACCAUUCUCAUGUGCAUGCGCAUGCAUCAAUUAUAAGCAUUUCUUUGCUUUUGGGUACCCAAGCCACUUCAGGGGGCUUUUAUUAUGUGAGAAUGUGGAUUAUAACCUCCAUCGGAGCGUUAUUUAGUAGUAGGGCGUGGAUAAUCUCCAUUUAGGGAGUUGGAACAUUGAGAACCCAUAUAUCUGUCAUGCUGCAGGCAUGCCACAGAUUAAUACAUACAUGUCAAUUAAUUUCUGGGACUUUAACCCAUAUUAUGGGACUUUAACCCAUAUAAUUUGCUACGCAUUAGGCGUGCAUAAUAUCAAUAUUGACAUGUCAAAGGAUUGUCCUUUCGGGACUUCAAUCCAUAUCAUUUGCUACGCAACAGGCGUGCACCCAUAUUGAUCACUGCUAUACCCAUAUUCUGUUCUUAUGGGACUUUAAUCUGUGCAGUGUAUUAUCAAUGUAUCCAUCUUACAAUCUGUAAAAUUUGCAUUAAUAAUUCAUGGAUACAUACAAGCCAUUCUUUUGGAACGGACUUAUCUCCCAAUUUGGUUACCUUUCAAAAUAAAAUAUCAAAUAGGUAUAUAAGCAUAAAAUAACACAAGUAUGGCUUACAUCCUUAGGUGGGAGAAACUUUUCUCAAGUAUCAUUCAAGCUCAUAUCAGCCCAGUAAAUAUAAUGUAGCGCUUGAUGAUCUAGUUAUAUACUGCAAGAGCAAAAAUCACAACUCUUUUACCUCUGUCAAAACAAAUAACCCUCAUAGUUAGGAUUACUUCAUGGAUUCAUUCUUCAGAUGUUCAUUCUAAAGAAAUAAAAUCUCUUAUGAACAGAGAGUUAUAAAAAGAGAAAAAAUGCAAAAAUAAUGUGAUAUUGAUUGCAAGAGAAGGUAAGCAAUCAGGGAAGGAAGCUGGUGGGAGCAGACAAUAAGCUCUCAUAUCUCCUAGUCUAGAAGGACUUCCGGAGAUUAGAGCAUAAGAUCGCCUUCACAGUUUCCUGAUGUAGUGGAAACGUGAUCAGGGAUAGUCUUGCUUCCUGAAUGGAUGAUCAGAGAUAGUCUUGCUUCUCAGGCAUAUUAAGUGCUCACUGAUAAGAAAAACAAGUAGAUAUCGCAUCACUAGGUAUGGAGAAAACUGGAUGUCUUUUGCAAAGAAAAUUUCGUUAGUAACACAUUUAUACACAAAUACAAUGAAUAGGUAGAACCGGUGAAUUUCAAAUUAACCAUAGGAAAAUUGCGAGAUUCUCGGGAUACUUUUGAAAAAGUAGUUCCGUGAAAUCCGUAAAGCAAGAUCGGCUUUAAAAUAAUACUUUGAAAAACGCCGAAAGUGCCGACAGGCAUUAUUAGAGGCCACGUGAAGUUUUGGACUCUGGGAAAGAAAAAGAUAAUAUGGGGAUUCGAGAAGAUAUUGGGGUCCUGAAAAACAGUAGCCAUAUUUCCUCCUAUAGAUAUGGUCUUUGCAAAACUUGAUUGGAGUAACUGCGUUUCAACUCAAAUUUCUUCAUUUUCUGAAACUUUAGUUUUCCUAAGACUUUCUUCGAAACCUUCUUAAAAAAAAUGGCUUCCUCUUCUUCCUGCCCAAAUUAUUUCAAUUUAAAUGAUGCUCCCACAACAACCAGUGACGCCCAAGUUUGGCGUCCAUCCUUUGUAUCCAAAAAUCGUCAUCUCACAGUUAAUGAUUCUGUGAUGAUGAAUGAUGCUACUGCUGUCAUAGUAGCUAGGAAUUUCAUUACUCCAAUGGAUGAAAUGUUGUUGACAGGGAGAUCAGAGGAAGAGGCUAUUGAUGACUCAAUGGCUUUUAGCAUUCAGAGUGCUGCUUCUGUUUCUAACAUGGCUGAUCGUUUGCGUGCCAGAGCAAACGAGGUUGAGAAUUUAACAACUGAAAAUUCGUCUCUCCAAAGAAUGCUUCAUGAGUCUCAACAGGAGGUUGAGAAACUUAAAGGAGAGAAUAAUGCCUUGUUGAAACUGGUGAGUUCGUACUCUGUUGAUACACUGAGAAGGCUAGACAUGCUGCAGGUCUCGAAUGAAAGAAUUUUGGGAGACCAUGAGAAGCUCAUGGCUAAGCUUAAGAGGCGCCGUCAUCUUCCUUCAGAGGCUUCCAGAACAUAAUGUAAUUUUUAUAGAUUUUACAGGGCCUGCACCUUCAUUGCAGGAAAAAAUCUAUCUGUUGUAUGCCCCUUUUCUGUUAUAAUAAUUGCGCAUAUUCUUAAACUUGCACCUGUGGUUUUUACGUCUUUUCAAAAUGACGAUUUGGAACCUUGUGCCUUAUAGGUUCAAAUAACCACAUUGUCUCUCCCAAAUUUCAUAUUUUAUCGCAUGGUAGCCCGGAACUUUUGGCCUGGGCACAAACUCAGAAUUUAUUUGCCCUUUUCAAAUGGACAUGAAAUAUGAAUUGAGUAAAAGCCAUGAUAAUAUCGCAAUAUAGUAGUGAAGAGCAUUAACUACUAUAUACCCACAACUUCAAGUUCAGGAUCUCUCAUAUAUUUGGAUCCAUGGGCUUCCGGCCCAGAUAUAACAAAAUAUGUGGGGAGCCUCAAUUCAUUAUUUGAGGUUUAUAUUAAUAUUAUCCAUUUCGCGGUGUAUUCUUAACAACCGGAAUUCACAAAAUAUAUUUCUUCCUUGAGGUGUCGAUUAUAACAAAAUCGAACUUUAUUAAAUUCAUCAUCUUCUUAUGCCAAAGAAAUAUGUGGCAUACCACAAUUUGCAAUAAUACCUCAAGGGUUGUCCAUUUAAUUGUUGGAACUUCAGGUUCUCAACACUGUAAAUUUUGAACUUCAGGCCAAAGCCACAUAUUCUCAUGGUAUGGACAUUUUUACAAUUUUCUGUACAUAUUUCUGGACUUCAAGUCCUUACAUAAUUGUCCAUAUCUUGAGGAACUUCUGGCAUCUCAUUUAAUUGCUCAUCCAUGAGUUUAAGGAACUGCAGGUUCCCUUUUGUAUAUAGUGACGGUUUACCCAAAAUGGUUAAUAUUUAUGCAUACGUCACUAUUCAUGUGAAUAGUACUAUUCAUCAAGUCAUGAAUACGUAUCUAUUCAUCUGCCAGUACAGUUAUCAUCCAUGUGUACGGCACCAUGAAACUGCAGGUUCCCUUAUGUAUAUAGUGACGGUUUACCCAAAAUGGUUAAUAUUUAUGCAUACGUCACUAUUCAUGUGAAUAGUACUAUUCAUCAAGUCAUGAAUACGUAUCUAUUCAUCUGCCAGUACAGUUAUCAUCAAUGUGUACGGCACCAUGAACCAAUACGGUACUGUUACAUCAUUAAGGAACUCUAGGUCCUUAUUUACAUGUCAGGGAUCAAGGACCCUUAAGUCCGAUCAUAUGUUUACAAAUACAGUACCGGAGAGACUGCCAGCUCUCAUAUUAAUAUCAUCAUCAAGGAUCUUCAAGUCCUGAUGUAAUUGUAUGAUGAGGAUCAAGGAACUUCUGGUCCUGAUCUGCAUACUGUAAAAACUCAUCAUACAGCACAUUUAAUCCAUAAAAUAGAUUGCUGGUAAAUAAAUUACUGGUAUGGACGAUAAACCCGCACCACACUUUAAAUAAAUGUAAAUGUGCGGUAAAUUAAAUUCAUAAAGUUAAGGUGCUUGUAUGGGUAUUAAUUCUGCUACAUACAUUUAAAUAAAAGUAAAGGCGUGGAUGAUAAACCCGCACCACCCUUUUAAAUAAAUGUAAAUGUGCGGUAAAUUAAAUUCAUAAAUUAAAUUGCUUGCUGUAUGGACGUUAAUCCCGCACCAUACUUUAAAUAAAAUUAAAUGUGCGGUAAAGUAAAUUGUGCUUGUAUGGGCACUAAUUCUGCUCCAUACAUUUAAAUAAAAGUAAAGGCGUGGACGAUAAACCCGCACCACCCUUUUAAAUAAAUACUGUUGUAUGGGUAAUAAACCUACACCAUACAGUAAAUAAAAUAAAUAUGCGGUAAAAUAAAUUUGCGAUAAAGUAAAGGUGCAUGUAUGGGUAAUAAACCUACACCAUACAGUAAAUAAAUGUGGGGUUAAAACCACCACCGAAUAAAAUAAGAAAAAAGUUAGUAUUAGUAACGGUCUCCCACUGAUAAUAUGUUUAGUAUUACCAAGGGUCCAUUUUUGUUAGUGGUUAGUAGUUAGAUAAUAGUGCAGCACAAAAAUUAUACCUGAGAGCUUCUCGUGCUGAUAACGUGUUAUAAAAAUAACCUGGAAUAUGUAUGAAUAUUGAGCUGCACGUAAGUAGAUGAGACACAGCAUUUACGAGUUCGGCUAUGCUACGUCUCGGAGAGCAGCAGCAGUAACUUUUUCACUAUAUAAAAUAAUAGGGCUACAACUUUAGAGUUUACAAUAUGUGAGGCUCACUGAAUUUUCUCUCUCUUUCUCUUCUAUCUUUCCUCCUCUCUUUCCUCUUCUCUUUUUCCUUUUCUUCUUUUCUCUGUUGGUCUCUCUUCCCAUUGCAAGUGAUAUGCCUAUUUAUAGGCUAAGGUUUUGGCAAAUACAGGGAAGGGAAAGUUCCUGGAAGAUGCAAGGAAACUUCCUCCAUGCAUGUGAUACCAAAGCUGUGGACUCCACCUUCAAACUUUUACAACAUAAAAGAUCUUUUGGCCAUGCGGGCUCUCCGUAAUAAUUAUGACCCAUCCCUUUAGCCAAUUUAGCUCUUAACACAGGAUCAUUCAAGUUAGGUCUUCCCCAACUUCCACUUGCACUGCAAAACUUGCCACACACCUUGAAAAUGGAAAUUUCUCCACACUUUCCUCCAUUUUUGGCUCUCUCUCCUCCCCACAAACACUUUCAUUUUGUCAUCAUUGGACUGCAAACCCACCUCUAAUCUCUGUGCACCCAUAAGCUUCUUGAUCAGGUCCUCUUCAAGCAUUAACCAAUCACUUCCUCUUUGCCCAAAAACGCAAUUUCAAGAAUGCAAUUCAUGGCUGCCACUUUAGUUGACAAGUCUUCAGAGCGCAGGAGGUUGAUAAUUAUUGGGAUUUCUCAAUUGAUGUCAUCAACCAGAGGGGUUCUGAUGAUUUUGACUAGUCUAGUGAGGACUUGAAUUGAACAAGAUGAACGCAUUUGAAUUAAAGCUCUAACAAUCGGACCCAUCAGCACCAAUCCCACAAAAACAUCCUUAUUGAAUUUAACCAGACCAAGAACAGCAAGGGCAGCUUGGUCUCAAACCACUUCGAAAACUUUGAGUCACAAACCAUAAAUUCAAGAAAAGAAAAUACCUUUGCCUCAAAAUUAACUGUUGAUAUUGUUUAACAAACCUUUGGCCCAAUCUGUUCUCUUAACCCUAUAAAUGCCUAAAAAUAUAAAGAAUAAAAAAAGAAAGCCCAAAAUGCUACACUAUAUGUACAAUUUUCAAUUUUUUAAUUUAAUUUUUUUUAAAGUUAUAUAUAUUUAUUAAUAUAUAUUUUUAUAUAUUUUAUAUAUUUAUUUUUAGUUUAAAUUUCUAAUUAAAAUUAAGUAUUAAAAUAAUUAUUUUUUAGUUCGACAUAGCACCAAACAUAGGUCUUCACUAUUUUUACAAUCCAGCUUCUUAAUCCAAUGUAGCACCAAACAUAGGUCAGUAUUUAAUCCAGCCUAGGCCAAUCCGAGCGAAUACAAGACAGUCUCAAGAUUUAGUCCAGUUCAUGACAGUCCGCCGUACCAAAUGACCACUUAAAUGAAAGUUUAAAAAGUUUUACAGCCCAAAAUUUGAACACCCAAAUUGAUGCACCUCUCCAUCUUCUCUCAUAGUUUCUUCAAUACUUAUUUUCCUUCCAACUUUUAGAGUUGUGCAGUGGUGGUGUUUUGGUAGGGGCGGAGUUUUGGUUUGGUAAUUGAAACCAAUACCAAUGAGAAGAAGGUUUUCUAUCGAAGAUUACGGUAUACAUAAUAUUCAUCAUUAGAGCAUCCAUAAUGGGCUUUUCUAAACCAUCUCUUUAGACAAAUUUUAGAGAGAAAUUGGAAAAAUACAACUUCAACUAUGCUUCCUAUCCACCUCCUAAAAUAAUAAGAACUCUAGGAGCUCCUAAAUCUGAAGAGAGAGAAAGGACUCAUAGUGGCUCCCUAUAAUUUAAUGCUGCUUUAUUUAAUGAAUAUUUCAAAUCUUUAAUUACUGCUAACUAUUUUUUAUAUUAUUUUUUAAUAGAGAUUGACCAAUUAAAAAAGAGUUAUAGCAUUUAUGACCCCCCCAAAACUAGAGAGUAUGAUUAGAGCUGAAAUUUGAUAGAGAGCUUUUAAAAUAACUUUUAUAUGUUUUUAGCUAAAUUUUAACCACAAAAAAUAGAGAGCAUGAUUGUAGAUGCUCAAAAGCAUGUUUCCCAGAAUCCGAAGUCUUUGUGGGCUGCUUGAAUAAUAUGUCCGUGGCAAGUAUAUUCAUCGGAAAAAUAUAAAAAAAACUCAGUGGAAAACAAAAGGAAGAUUGAAGUUUCAAUGUGUUUUAACUUCAUUCAGUCCGAUUUAGAAUUAGUUCAGUCUGAUUUCUUUAUUUGCUUGUAUUUCAAACGGAUGGGACUCCUUUUCGAUUCCUUUAACUUAUAUUGUCAAUUCGAACCCAUUUCUACAACAAUAACUAGAAGUUCUCUGAGUCCUAUUACAUUUUUAGCAUUCUGUUUUUUUGGUUCUUACAUCAUACAAGUGGAAUAUUGAAGCCUUAAUAAUCCGGGCAUAGAAAAUAAUCAAAUUAUGUCAGUUCUCUACUUAAAGCACAAUGACUCGAAAAGAAGUUAAGAUUUCUUAAGACGCAAGACUUUCACUUUAUUUAUGUUUGAAUCACACUUUUUUUAUUAGGCUUAACAAUAACCACUAGUGGCACGGCUACAACCAAACCAUAUAAAAUACAUUUUGAGCCCAUUUUCUAGGGGCCAGAUUACUUAAAAUCAAUCCAACCAAGUGCUAGAAUACAAAGCCACGCUUUUGGGGUGAACAGUAGGAAAUAGACAUCAGCUCAUACCUAAAUUUCUCUUGAUCAGAAUCUAUCGUUUUAACCAGAGUUUCACCAUUCAACUUUCCAGAUGAGAGAUUUGAAGGGAGAAUCUUAUAUGGUUCAAGGUAAGAAAUGGCGAUAAGCGAUUCACGAGUCACUUCUUCAGCUGCCCCGUUUCCAAGUCUUGCUUUAUCCAUAAAAUGUAUGAUCUUCUUGCUCUGCAUGCAUUCCAAACAUCAAAAUGUUAACUGGAAAAAGAAUACAGAUGCUUCAAUAAAAUAAAGGAUGUGCAUGAAAGUUCUAAAU